UGAAAAAAUAAUUUAAGUGGUUAUUCGGACGGGAAAAUAUAUAUUUCAUUCUCUUAUAUAAAUCAUUGAAACCAUGUACCAAACUGUGAGCUUUAAAAUCCAAUACAUUGUUAUUGGUGAGGGUUUGUAUUUUUUAUAAAUGAGAAAAAUAUUUUGACUUUUUAUUGAUAAAAUAAAAUGAGUGGGAAACGCUUGCGUUGAAAAACUGUAGACAAGUAUAUUUUGGUAAUGUUUGAUAAUUUCAGUUACCUCCCUUGCCAAAUGAAUAUUUGGAGGCUUAAAAACUUAAGAAAAAAAUAAAAGCAAUAAAUUUUCAACUAUAAAUAAUUCAUAUAAAAUCAGCUUAAUUGUUUAUGAUAGACAUAAUUUUUUUUAACGCUGAAAUAUAUUUUAAAAAAAUAUUCAGUGCGGGUAUAUUUUCAAAACCAGUGUAAACAAAGAUGGCCGCCGCUAACGUCUGUGCACAGCAUGCUGCCAGAGUUGAUUGUUUUUCGGUGUUUUGGUGAUGUUGUCUCGAUCUCAAAUACCAUUGGAAGUUAAAUCAGGUCGCAAAUAAUACUAUGGGUACAUUUAUGUACACAUCCACUCCUCAAAGAAAAAAGCAAGAGGUGUUCACCCGAUGACGACAGAGGAAUGUUAUUUCUUGACAAAUGGGUAGUUCCAGAGGGGUCAGAGAAGUGCAAAUGAAAUAUUCUUCUGGAAAAUACUGUCCUUCUAUAUUUAAACUUGGAUAAAACAUAGAAAAAACCCUACAAGAUUGCUGAAAGAAAAAAACCCAUCAAGUUGCUUGGCAUGAUGGAUCUAGAUGACUUUUACAGCAUCUAAUAUCAUGGGUAAAAAUGAUAUUCCUGCAUAUGAAACAGUGAAAGUGCGCCGAAUAAGAAAGAAGAUCAAGAAGGGGGUUCAGGAAUUAUGUGAAGGAGUAAUUUGAAAGGAUAUAUUUAGAUGGCAGAGAAACUAAAUAGAUUUGCAAGUCAUUAUAUAAAUGGCCAUAUUCAUUUAAAAUAACCAAUGUUUUCCUAAGGAGUGGUUGAAUUUCCAGAAGAUAUCUCUUGGAAUUUGUUUUUCUCAAUUUAAUCAUCUGCACAUUUUUCUUCAAUGAAUAAAGGAUGCAAACAAGACUAAAAUAAGAUGCUUUGAAGUUUGUCAGAUUGACCACAUACAUGUAUGAGAGAGAGAGAGAGAGAGAGAGAGAGAGAGAGAGAGAGAGAGAGAGAGAAAGAGAGAGAGAGAGAGAGAGAGAGAGAGAAUGAGAAUGAACUUGUCUUCAUGCAUCAUGCACUGUAUGUACAUGUCAUCAUUUAGCAUUUUAAUGCUCAAUAAAUUGUUAAAUUGUUA
Long non-coding RNA from Magallana angulata, 1338 nucleotides. RefSeq lists it as uncharacterized. Lineage: Eukaryota; Metazoa; Mollusca; Bivalvia; Ostreida; Ostreidae. The record is from RefSeq and is a predicted model, not a curated record. The transcript has 3 exons.